RNAcentral lists this non-coding RNA (112 nucleotides) under Anaerostipes hadrus. RNAcentral describes it as "TPP sequence". It matches the Rfam family "TPP riboswitch aptamer (THI element)". Rfam says of the family: Vitamin B(1) in its active form thiamin pyrophosphate (TPP) is an essential coenzyme that is synthesised by coupling of pyrimidine and thiazole moieties in bacteria. Lineage: Bacteria; Bacillati; Bacillota; Clostridia; Lachnospirales; Lachnospiraceae. The record is from RNAcentral.
UGUAACUGAAAUGGGAGCUUAAAAGGUGAUACCUUAGCUGAGAGGAAACAAGAGUUUCGACCAUGGACCUGAUACGGAUAAUGCCGUCGUAGGGAUUUGGAUGCUAUGAAUA